AACAAAACCCCGUGGCAUGAUACAGACUUCUGGCUCAGCAGGGAAUGCACUUGCCUCCAAGCAUAGCAGCCUGUUUGAUCACUUGGACCCAGGGAGUGGAACGAGAGAAUCAACUUUUGAAAGUUGUCCUCUGGCCUCUACAUGUGAUCUCUCAUUACACACACCUAAGAAAUUAAUACAUAUUUAAAAAUUAAUUUUUCUUUUGCAUCCAGAGGAGACACAGAAAUACUCUUGACAUGCUGUGAAUAUGACAGUCCACACACAAUGUUACACUAUGAGUGUGACAUCUCCCCAUUAGCGCAUGUGCUCCAUUUGGUCUCCAGUCAGUGCGACCAUUUGGGGAAAUAGUGGAAACUUUGGGAGAUGAAGCCUAUCUGGAGGAAAUGGGUGGCAGGGUUCAUUCGUAGAAAAUACCUAGUCCCAGACACCGUUUUCUUCUUCCUUGCUACCAUGAAGUGAACCUUUUCCACCACACACUCCCACUGCCAUCUUGUUCAGCCUCAUGAGUCAAGGGUUGGUUUCUGGCCAGGCUGAGCAAGUAAUUAAUUGGGUUUAUUGAAAGACAUCAGCUGUGGAUUUGUGGCAUAGACAAAGCACUUUUUUGUCUCACUGUUUAUUCAGAUUUUAUCUGUUCAGAUGUAAAGAGUAGAUUCCGGUGUCACAAAGACCUCCAGGGAUUAGCAUCAACUCCUUUCAGUAAAUGAUCUCUUCUGCCACGUCCCAUGGAAACUAAGUCUAAGUCUCGGCUAAGUCACUGAAGUCUCGGCAGGGCCACAAACAGUCCAGUUCGCUGCUCUUAAAAGGUAUUUCAAUCUUUGAAAAUGUUUGUGUAUGUGUACCCCAUUUGUGUGCUGGUGACUGUGAGCUGCUCUACAAGUGCUGCUAACCAAACUCAAGUCCUGUGGAAGAGCAGCAAGUACUCUUAGUCACUGAGCUAUCUCUCAAACCCCUGUAUUUCAAUUCUUCAUUCAUUCAUUCACAGGUAGAAUGAAUUAUGUGCUGUUCACAGAAAGGGAUAGUUUUGAUGGUCUAAUACUUCAAGCUUAUAUCUAAAAAUCCACAGCUGUAAAAGCAACAUAAAGAGAUUCUAAAACAUCUGACCUCAUCUGUUAAUGUCAAUUCAUGUAAUACUCAAUUUAUACAAUAAAUGAAUAACUGGGACAAAGGAAAAGAGGCCCCAGAAUUUGUGUACUAUAAUCUGUGAAACUGUGAGCCAAGAUUAAUGUUUCCUCAUUUUAUGUUAGUUAUUUGGUCAGGGCCACAGUACAGUAACUAAUAUUGUGGGUAGGAUGGAAGAGAAAGAAUGCAGAGGCCCACUGUGUGGCUGGUACCAAAGUCCUGGAAUGAGUUAACAAAAGUGGGAGUAUGGAAGGGAUGGA
Molecule: long non-coding RNA, 1379 nt
Filed under: Cricetulus griseus (Chinese hamster)
Lineage: Eukaryota; Metazoa; Chordata; Mammalia; Rodentia; Cricetidae
Description: lncRNA (ENSCGRG00015042405.1)
Source: RNAcentral